AUUGAACGCUGGCGGCAUGCUUUACACAUGCAAGUCGACCGGCAGCACAGAGAAUCUUGCUUCUUGGGUGGCGAGUGGCGUACGGGAGAGUUACAUAUCGGAACGUACCGCGCGGUGCAGGAUAACUAAUCGAAAGCUUAUCUAAUACAGCAUAACUUCUGAGGAAGAAAGCAGGAUACCAUCUGUACUUGCGCUGUUUGAGCGUCCGAUAUCUGUAUCGCGAGUUGGUGGGGUAAAGGCCUACCAAGGCGACGUUCAGUAGCGGGUCUGAGAGGAUGGGUCGCCACACUGGGAGUGUGACACGGCCCAGACGCCCAGGGACGGCGCCCUUAGGGAAUUUUGGGCAAGGGGCGGAAGACAUUGCAAGCCAGGCCGCGUGUCUGAAGAAGGACUUCGGUGUGUAAAGUGCUUUUGUCAGGAAAGAAAAGGGCUGGGUUAAUACCCGUGUCUGAUGACGGUACCUGAAGAAUAAGCACCGGCUAACUACGUG
RNAcentral lists this ribosomal RNA (490 nucleotides) under uncultured bacterium. Its description in RNAcentral is "partial 16S ribosomal RNA". It matches the Rfam family "Bacterial small subunit ribosomal RNA", at positions 30 to 507 of the family's 1533-position model. The record is from RNAcentral.